UCAUCUGGGGCUGUCUCCUUAG
This 22-nucleotide microRNA is filed under the name Mus musculus (house mouse). RNAcentral describes it as "mmu-miR-6938-3p". The record is from miRBase by way of RNAcentral. Lineage: Eukaryota; Metazoa; Chordata; Mammalia; Rodentia; Muridae.